This 210-nucleotide unclassified non-coding RNA is filed under the name Hevea brasiliensis (rubber tree). Lineage: Eukaryota; Viridiplantae; Streptophyta; Magnoliopsida; Malpighiales; Euphorbiaceae. The record is from RNAcentral.
AGAAAAAGAAAAGGGGAAAAAAAAGAAUAAUGAGUUCAUACUUAAAUCUAAACAAAAAAAAUAAUGGUAGAUAGGAUCAAGAGCAAUUUGGUUACAGAGGAAAGCAAGUUGGAACUUGUUUGACUGAUGAUAUCCCAGAAAAGUAAACUGUAAGAGAAUGAAUGAAGGCAAUAGUCAAAUUAUGUAAACAAAACAAUGAAAAUUAUAAGC